AACGAACGCUGGCGGCAUGCCUAACACAUGCAAGUCGAACGAGACCUUCGGGUCUAGUGGCGCACGGGUGCGUAACGCGUGGGAACCUGCCUUUAGGUUCGGAAUAACUCAGAGAAAUUUGAGCUAAUACCGGAUGAUGUCUUCGGACCAAAGAUUUAUCGCCUUUAGAUGGGCCCGCGUUGGAUUAGCUAGUUGGUGGGGUAAAGGCCUACCAAGGCGACGAUCCAUAGCUGGUCUGAGAGGAUGAUCAGCCACACUGGGACUGAGACACGGCCCAGACUCCUACGGGAGGCAGCAGUGGGGAAUAUUGGACAAUGGGCGAAAGCCUGAUCCGGCAAUGCCGCGUGAGUGAUGAAGGCCUUAGGGUUGUAAAGCUCUUUUACCCGAGAUGAUAAUGACAGUAGCGGGAGAAUAAGCUCCGGCUAACUCCGUG
This 433-nucleotide ribosomal RNA is filed under the name uncultured bacterium. Its description in RNAcentral is "partial 16S ribosomal RNA". It matches the Rfam family "Bacterial small subunit ribosomal RNA", at positions 29 to 507 of the family's 1533-position model. The record is from RNAcentral.